GAUGGACGCUGGCGGCGUGCCUAAUACAUGCAAGUCGAGCGAACAGACGAGGAGCUUGCUCCUCUGACGUUAGCGGCGGACGGGUGAGUAACACGUGGAUAACCUACCUAUAAGACUGGGAUAACUUCGGGAAACCGGAGCUAAUACCGGAUAAUAUAUUGAACCGCAUGGUUCAAUAGUGAAAGACGGUUUUGCUGUCACUUAUAGAUGGAUCCGCGCCGCAUUAGCUAGUUGGUAAGGUAACGGCUUACCAAGGCAACGAUGCGUAGCCGACCUGAGAGGGUGAUCGGCCACACUGGAACUGAGAAACGGUCCAGACUCCUACGGGAGGCAGCAGUAGGGAAUCUUCCGCAAUGGGCGAAAGCUUGACGGAGCAACGCCGCGUGAGUGAUGAAGGUCUUCGGAUCGUAAAACUCUGUUAUUAGGGAAGAACAAAUGUGUAAGUAACUAUGCACGUCUUGACGGUACCUAAUCAGAAAGCCACGGCUAACUACGUG
Molecule: ribosomal RNA, 497 nt
Filed under: uncultured bacterium
Lineage: Bacteria
Description: partial 16S ribosomal RNA
Rfam family: Bacterial small subunit ribosomal RNA
Source: RNAcentral